UCGAAAACGGUGAAAAUUGCGACUUUGC
This 28-nucleotide small RNA is filed under the name Bombyx mori (domestic silkworm). RNAcentral describes it as "piRNA piR-bmo-1661856". The record is from RNAcentral. Lineage: Eukaryota; Metazoa; Arthropoda; Insecta; Lepidoptera; Bombycidae.